This 367-nucleotide ribosomal RNA is filed under the name uncultured organism. RNAcentral describes it as "partial 16S ribosomal RNA". It matches the Rfam family "Bacterial small subunit ribosomal RNA", at positions 527 to 897 of the family's 1533-position model. The record is from RNAcentral.
GGAGGGUGCAAGCGUUAUCCGGAUUUAUGGGUUUAAAGGGUCCGUAGGCGGAUCUGUAAGUCGGUGGUGAAAUCUCACAGCUUAACUGUGAAACUGCCAUUGAUACUGCAGGUCUUGAGUGUUAUUGAAGUAGCUGGAAUAAGUAGUGUAGCGGUGAAAUGCAUAGAUAUUACUUAGAACACCAAUUGCGAAGGCAGGUUACUAAGCAACAACUGACGCUGAUGGACGAAAGCGUGGGGAGCGAACAGGAUUAGAUACCCUGGUAGUCCACGCCGUAAACGAUGCUAACUCGUUUUGGGUUUUCGGAUUCAGAGACUAAGCGAAAGUGAUAAGUUAGCCACCUGGGGAGUACGAACGCAAAGUUUGA